This 408-nucleotide ribosomal RNA is filed under the name uncultured bacterium. RNAcentral's name for it is "partial 16S ribosomal RNA". It matches the Rfam family "Bacterial small subunit ribosomal RNA", at positions 355 to 755 of the family's 1533-position model. The record is from RNAcentral.
UGGGGAAUAUUGCACAAUGGGCGCAAGCCUGAUGCAGCCAUGCCGCGUGUGUGAAGAAGGCCUUCGGGUUGUAAAGCACUUUCAGCGAGGAGGAAGGUGGUGAGCUUAAUACGCUCAUCAAUUGACGUUACUCGCAGAAGAAGCACCGGCUAACUCCGUGCCAGCAGCCGCGGUAAUACGGAGGGUGCAAGCGUUAAUCGGAAUUACUGGGCGUAAAGCGCACGCAGGCGGUUUGUUAAGUCAGAUGUGAAAUCCCCGGGCUCAACCUGGGAACUGCAUUUGAAACUGGCAAGCUAGAGUCUCGUAGAGGGGGGUAGAAUUCCAGGUGUAGCGGUGAAAUGCGUAGAGAUCUGGAGGAAUACCGGUGGCGAAGGCGGCCCCCUGGANGAAGACUGACGCUCAGGUGCG